GAGUAUGAUUGAAUAAGCAAGAACUGCUAAUUACUUGCUUCUAUGGUUUGAUUCCACAGCAAACUCG
This 67-nucleotide transfer RNA is filed under the name Dryophytes immaculatus (spotless tree toad). RNAcentral's name for it is "tRNA-Ser". Lineage: Eukaryota; Metazoa; Chordata; Amphibia; Anura; Hylidae. The record is from RNAcentral. RNAcentral also lists the same sequence under 3 other names.